RNAcentral lists this ribosomal RNA (543 nucleotides) under Streptomyces thermoviolaceus subsp. thermoviolaceus. RNAcentral describes it as "bacterial SSU rRNA". It matches the Rfam family "Bacterial small subunit ribosomal RNA", at positions 98 to 654 of the family's 1533-position model. Lineage: Bacteria; Bacillati; Actinomycetota; Actinomycetes; Kitasatosporales; Streptomycetaceae. The record is from RNAcentral.
GCGAACGGGUGAGUAACACGUGGGCAAUCUGCCCUGCACUCUGGGACAAGCCCUGGAAACGGGGUCUAAUACCGGAUACGACACAGGGAGGCAUCUCCUCUGGGUGGAAAGCUCCGGCGGUGCAGGAUGAGCCCGCGGCCUAUCAGCUUGUUGGUGAGGUAACGGCUCACCAAGGCGACGACGGGUAGCCGGCCUGAGAGGGCGACCGGCCACACUGGGACUGAGACACGGCCCAGACUCCUACGGGAGGCAGCAGUGGGGAAUAUUGCACAAUGGGCGCAAGCCUGAUGCAGCGACGCCGCGUGAGGGAUGACGGCCUUCGGGUUGUAAACCUCUUUCAGCAGGGAAGAAGCGCAAGUGACGGUACCUGCAGAAGAAGCGCCGGCUAACUACGUGCCAGCAGCCGCGGUAAUACGUAGGGCGCAAGCGUUGUCCGGAAUUAUUGGGCGUAAAGAGCUCGUAGGCGGCUUGUCGCGUCGGUUGUGAAAGCCCGGGGCUUAACUCCGGGUCUGCAGUCGAUACGGGCAGGCUAGAGUUCGGUAG